This 1347-nucleotide ribosomal RNA is filed under the name uncultured bacterium. Its description in RNAcentral is "bacterial SSU rRNA". It matches the Rfam family "Bacterial small subunit ribosomal RNA", at positions 28 to 1381 of the family's 1533-position model. The record is from RNAcentral.
GACGAACGCUGGCGGCGUGCUUAACACAUGCAAGUCGAACGAUGAAGCCUAGCUUGCUAGGUGGAUUAGUGGCGAACGGGUGAGUAAUACGUGAGUAACCUACCUUUAACUCUGGGAUAAGCCUGGGAAACUGGGUCUAAUACCGGAUACGACCAAUCUCCGCAUGGGGUGUUGGUGGAAAGCGUUAUGUAGUGGUUAUAGAUGGGCUCACGGCCUAUCAGCUUGUUGGUGAGGUAACGGCUCACCAAGGCGACGACGGGUAGCCGGCCUGAGAGGGUGACCGGCCACACUGGGACUGAGACACGGCCCAGACUCCUACGGGAGGCAGCAGUGGGGAAUAUUGCACAAUGGGCGCAAGCCUGAUGCAGCGACGCCGCGUGAGGGAUGACGGCCUUCGGGUUGUAAACCUCUGUUAGCAGGGAAGAAGAGAAAUUGACGGUACCUGCAGAGAAAGCGCCGGCUAACUACGUGCCAGCAGCCGCGGUAAUACGUAAGGCGCGAGCGUUGUCCGGAAUUAUUGGGCGUAAAGAGCUUGUAGGCGGUUUGUCGCGUCUGCUGUGAAGGCCGGGGCUUAAACCCGUGUAUUGCAGUGGGUACGGGCAGACUAGAGUGCAGUAGGGGAGACUGGAAUUCCUGGUGUAGCGGUGGAAUGCGCAGAUAUCAGGAGGAACACCGAUGGCGAAGGCAGGUCUCUGGGCUGUAACUGACGCUGAGAAGCGAAAGCAUGGGGAGCGAACAGGAUUAGAUACCCUGGUAGUCCAUGCCGUAAACGUUGGGCACUAGGUGUGGGGGACAUUCCACGUUUUCCGCGCCGUAGCUAACGCAUUAAGUGCCCCGCCUGGGGAGUACGGCCGCAAGGCUAAAACUCAAAGAAAUUGACGGGGGCCCGCACAAGCGGCGGAGCAUGCGGAUUAAUUCGAUGCAACGCGAAGAACCUUACCAAGGCUUGACAUAUACUGGACCGCAUCAGAGAUGGUGUUUCCCUUCGGGGCUGGUAUACAGGUGGUGCAUGGUUGUCGUCAGCUCGUGUCGUGAGAUGUUGGGUUAAGUCCCGCAACGAGCGCAACCCUCGUUCUAUGUUGCCAGCACGUUAUGGUGGGGACUCAUAGGAGACUGCCGGGGUCAACUCGGAGGAAGGUGGGGAUGACGUCAAAUCAUCGUGCCCCUUAUGUCUUGGGCUUCACGCAUGCUACAAUGGCCGGUACAGAGGGUUGCGAUACUGUGAGGUGGAGCUAAUCCCUAAAAGCCGGUCUCAGUUCGGAUUGGGGUCUGCAACUCGACCCCAUGAAGUCGGAGUCGCUAGUAAUCGCAGAUCAGCAACGCUGCGGUGAAUACGUUCCCGGGCCU